Molecule: ribosomal RNA, 440 nt
Filed under: uncultured bacterium
Lineage: Bacteria
Description: partial 16S ribosomal RNA
Rfam family: Bacterial small subunit ribosomal RNA
Source: RNAcentral
CCUACGGGAGGCAGCAGUAGGGAAUAUUGCUCAAUGGGGGAAACUCUGAAGCAGCAACGCCGCGUGGAGGAUGAAGGUUUUCGGAUUGUAAACCCCUUUUGUUAGAGAAGAUAAUGACGGUAUCUAACGAAUAAGCACCGGCUAACUCCGUGCCAGCAGCCGCGGUAAUACGGAGGGUGCAAGCGUUACUCGGAAUCACUGGGCGUAAAGAGCGCGUAGGCGGGAUAGCAAGUCAGAUGUGAAAUCCUAUGGCUUAACCAUAGAACUGCAUGUGAAACUGUUAGUCUAGAGUAUGGGAGAGGUAGGUGGAAUUCUUGGUGUAGGGGUAAAAUCCAUAGAGAUCAAGAAGAAUACUCAUUGCGAAGGCGGCCUGCUAGAACAUAACUGACGCUGAUGCGCGAAAGCGUGGGGAGCAAACAGGAUUAGAUACCCGUGUAGUC